UUUCCGUAGGUGAACCUGCGGAAGGAUCAUUAGGAGAGGCGAUGCUUGUUCCACGCACGCUCCUUCUCGAGGCUUGCUGGGCUGCGCCCAGUAACUCGAGAUGGGCGCAAAAGCAUGAUUCACACUUACACUUACACUUACAAAUACACAUGAGCACCUUGCUGCAAUGGAUCUCUCGGCUCUU
This 184-nucleotide unclassified non-coding RNA is filed under the name plant metagenome. Its description in RNAcentral is "partial contains small subunit ribosomal RNA, internal transcribed spacer 1, and 5.8S ribosomal RNA". The record is from RNAcentral.